UACGUAGGGUGCAAGCGUUGUCCGGAAUUAUUGGGCGUAAGGAGCUCGUAGGCGGUCUGUCACGUCGGACGUGAAAAUCCAGGGCUCAACCCUGGACCUGCGUUCGAUACGGGCAGACUAGAGUUCGGUAGGGGAGACUGGAAUUCCUGGUGUAGCGGUGAAAUGCGCAGAUAUCAGGAGGAACACCAGUGGCGAAGGCGACUACCUGGCCUGUUCUUGACGCUGAGGCGCGAAAGCUAGGGGAGCAAACGGG
Molecule: ribosomal RNA, 253 nt
Filed under: uncultured bacterium
Lineage: Bacteria
Description: partial 16S ribosomal RNA
Rfam family: Bacterial small subunit ribosomal RNA
Source: RNAcentral